UGCCGGGUGGCCAAAGUAGGUAAGGCAGCAGACUUUGAAUCUGAAGAGUGGGGGUUCGAGGCCCUCCCCGGCAACCA
RNAcentral lists this transfer RNA (77 nucleotides) under Roseibium sp. RKSG952. Its description in RNAcentral is "tRNA-Gln". It matches the Rfam family "tRNA". From Rfam's summary of the family: Transfer RNA (tRNA) molecules are approximately 80 nucleotides in length. Their secondary structure includes four short double-helical elements and three loops (D, anti-codon, and T loops). The record is from RNAcentral. Lineage: Bacteria; Pseudomonadati; Pseudomonadota; Alphaproteobacteria; Hyphomicrobiales; Stappiaceae.